GAGCAGAGGCCAUCAGGGCCCUUGUGAAGCCUCAGACUGUCGAGCCCAAGAUGCUAAAGGGCUCCAGCCGCAAACUCAGCCGUCUGGCUUUCAUCGCUCACCCCAAGCUUGGCAAGAGGAUUCGAAGAUACAUGGCCAAGGGUCGUAGGCUCUGCCAACCAAAGUCCAAGGUUCAAACCAAGGCAGAGGCCAUAGCUCCAGUUAAGGCCCAGGCCAAAGCUCUAGCCCAGGCUCCCAAGGGUGCCCAGGCCCCUGUGAAGGACCCAUAGAAAAGGCUCCUGCCACUGUGAAGACAGACAGACUGCUGUGACACAACCACCUACACACUAUUUACACAUGGUCAGUGUCCUGUGCUGUUUUUACAAAUAAACUUGAGACAAG
RNAcentral lists this long non-coding RNA (381 nucleotides) under Rattus norvegicus (Norway rat). RNAcentral's name for it is "long non-coding RNA NONRATT014998". Lineage: Eukaryota; Metazoa; Chordata; Mammalia; Rodentia; Muridae. The record is from RNAcentral.